CACCGCCUGGGGAGUACGACCGCAAGGUUAAAACUCAAAUGAAUUGACGGGGACCCGCACAAGUAGUGGAGCAUGUGGUUUAAUUCGAAGAUACGCGCAGAACCUUACCAACACUUGACAUGUUCGUCGCGACUUUAAGAGAUUAAAGUUUUCGGUUCGGCCGGACGAAACACAGGUGCUGCAUGGCUGUCGUCAGCUCGUGUCGUGAGAUGUUGGGUUAAGUCCCGCAACGAGCGCAACCCUCACUUUUAGUUGCCAUCAUUUAGUUGGGCACUCUGAAAGAACUGCCAGUGAUAAGCUGGAGGAAGGUGGGGAUGACGUCAAGUCCUCAUGGCCCUUACGUGUUGGGCUACACACGUGCUACAAUGGCAUUUACAAUAGGAAGCAAGGUGGCGACAUCAAGCAAAUCCUAAAAAAAUGCCUCAGUUCGGAUUGUACUCUGCAACUCGAGUGCAUGAAGCUGGAAUUACUAGUAAUCGUGGAUCAGCGUGCCACGGUGAAUGCGUUCCCGGGUCUUGUACACACCGCCCGUCACACCAUGGGAGUUGGUUCUACCUUAAGGCAAGGUUUAAAACCCUUGACCACGGUAUAGUCAGCGACUGGGGUGAAGUCGUAACAAGGUAGCCGUAGGGGAACCUGCGGCUGGAUUACCUCCUUUCUAAGGAUGAGUGAAACUAAAUUUCAUUCUAAAUAAUACACAGGCAAUGUUGACCGUCCUCAUUUCUCUUCUUAAAAGUGUUUCUCUUGCAUGGGGGCCGGUAGCUCAGUUGGUUAGAGCACACCCUUGAUAAAGGGUGGGGUCGAAAGUUCGAGUCUUUCUCGGCCCACCAAUUAUUAAUUAAAGGGGAUUAGCUCAGCUGGGAGAGCGCCUGAUUUGCAUUCAGAGGUCAGCGGUUCGAUCCCGCUAUCCUCCACCAACACUUAGUUAUAAAAAUUGUGAAUAAAAAAAUUAUAUCAUAUCUAUAUCCGACAUAGAAGUGUAUACUAAUGUCAAACAAAAUUUGAUCACACAGAAUUUUUUUCUG
RNAcentral lists this small RNA (1025 nucleotides) under uncultured Pelagibacterales bacterium. RNAcentral describes it as "bacterial SSU rRNA". The stretch from base 1 to 658 matches the Rfam family "Bacterial small subunit ribosomal RNA", at positions 867 to 1533 of the family's 1533-position model. Lineage: Bacteria; Pseudomonadati; Pseudomonadota; Alphaproteobacteria; Candidatus Pelagibacterales. The record is from RNAcentral.